ACCAUUUUAGAUCAGAGGAAUUCAAUAAACUAUUAGAAUCUUACUUAGUAAGUAUUAUUUCUUAUCUAGUCAAAGUCGAUAUGAAUUGAAUAUAGAAAAUAAUAGAAUUUCAAAUCAAUAUUGAAUAUUAUAGAACACAACGAUUAAUAGAACGAUAUAGAAUUAUCGAAUUUUAAUUUAUUUAUCACUUCGAAUAUUAUUAAACUUGAUAUAUUAUUAUUUUUUUUUUUUUUUGAGUUUUAGAUAAUUAAAGUUUUCCUUUUUGAUUUUGAAUUCAAAUGGCUUUUGAACUUCUUUUUAUUGUAUUAUUUGAUUCUAUAUCAUAUAUUUGUAUUUGAUUUCGAAUUCAAAAUGGUUAGUUAUAACUAAUGAGACAUUACCCACUUUCAGUCAUAAAGAAGUAAGUAGGAAAGGCGGAAAUUAAGACGACAAAAAGAGAAUCGACCCUUCAAGUAUUAAAAAUUACAUCGAAAAUGUGACAGGUAGAUAUAUACCUAGGAUAUAUUCAUCUCUAUUGAAUUGCAGAUACAGAACUAGUACAAUCAUAGUCGAUUGAACCAAAUCCAAGUAUGGUUUUCCAUAGAAAAUAGGUAAGAGAUAAAAGAAAACACUUUUUCGAGAUAGGAAUACGGUACGGUAUCUAAUAAAUUCAACGAGUUCAGUAUAAAUGAAAGAAAAAAAUAAACGACAUCACAAUGAAAUUUGAAUCUCACACAAAAUGAGGGGGAUAUGGCGAAAUUGGUAGACGCUACGGACUUAAUUAGAUUGGGCCUUGGUAUGGGAAACUCGCCAAGUGAAAACUUUCAAAUUCAGAGAAACCCCGGAAUUACUAAAAGGGGUAAUCCUGAGCCAAAUCCUGUUUUCUGAAAACAAAGGUUCAGAAAGUGAAAAAGGGGAUAGGUGCAGAGACUCAAUGGAAGCUGUUCUAACAAAUGGAGUUGGUUGUGGGAGUAGAGAAGUCUUUCCAUCCAAAAUUCAGUAAAGUAUAAGUAUUAAGGAUGGGGUGAAGGAUAAACGUAUAUACUAGUAUAUUAAAUGAGUAAUGACAGCCUUUUGUUUUUUUUUGUUUUUUCUAUGAAAAAACAAAGAAUUGGUGUGAAUAGAUUCUACGUUGAAGAAAGAAUCGAAUAUUCAUUGAUCGAAUGAUUCACUCCAUAGUCUGAUAAAUCUUUUCAAGAACUGAUUAAUCGGACGAGAAUAAAGAUAGAGUCCCAUUCUACAUGUCAAUGCUGGCAGCAACGAAAUUUAUAGUUAAGAGGAAAAUCCGUCGACUUUUAAAAUCGUGAGGGUUCAAGCCCCUCUAUCCCCAAAUAAACUAGUUGACUCCCCAACUAUCUAUUUAUCUAUCUUUCGUUUUGUUAUCGGUUCAAAAUUCCUUAUCCAUUCACUUUCUUUUUUAGAAUUGAUCGGUGCGGAAAUGCCCUUUUCUUAUCCCAUUUAGAUGAUAUACAUACAAAUGAACAUCCUUGAGCAAGAAAUACCCAUUUGAAUGAUUUACAAUCUAUAUAAUUACUAAUACUGAACUGAAACUCCCAAAGUCCUCUUUUUUAAGAUCCAAGUCAAGCAAUUUCAGUACUUAACUAAAACUUUUGAAUUCCCUUUCUUUCUUUUAAUUGACACAGCCCCCAUUUUCGAGUAAAAUGAGGAUGCUAUGUUGCGACUGGUCGGGAUAGCUCAGCUGGUAGAGCAGAGGACUGAAA
RNAcentral lists this precursor RNA (1700 nucleotides) under Psychotria amboniana. RNAcentral describes it as "partial transfer RNA-Thr". The stretch from base 749 to 1233 matches the Rfam family "Group I catalytic intron". Lineage: Eukaryota; Viridiplantae; Streptophyta; Magnoliopsida; Gentianales; Rubiaceae. The record is from RNAcentral.